RNAcentral lists this ribosomal RNA (350 nucleotides) under uncultured bacterium. RNAcentral describes it as "bacterial SSU rRNA". It matches the Rfam family "Bacterial small subunit ribosomal RNA", at positions 8 to 350 of the family's 1533-position model. The record is from RNAcentral.
AGAGUUUGAUCAUGGCUCAGGAUGAACGCUAGCUACAGGCUUAACACAUGCAAGUCGAGGGGAAACGACAUCGAAAGCUUGCUUUUGAUGGGCGUCGACCGGCGCACGGGUGAGUAACGCGUAUCCAACCUGCCCACCACUUGGGGAUAACCUUGCGAAAGUAAGACUAAUACCCAAUGACGUCUCUAGAAGACAUCUGAAAGAGAUUAAAGAUUUAUCGGUGAUGGAUGGGGAUGCGUCUGAUUAGCUUGUUGGCGGGGUAACGCCACAAGGCGACGAUCAGUAGGGGUUCUGAGAGGAAGGUCCCCCANAUUGGAACUGAGACACGGUCCAAAACUCCUACGGGUGCA